RNAcentral lists this ribosomal RNA (468 nucleotides) under uncultured bacterium. Its description in RNAcentral is "partial 16S ribosomal RNA". It matches the Rfam family "Bacterial small subunit ribosomal RNA", at positions 28 to 507 of the family's 1533-position model. The record is from RNAcentral.
GACGAACGCUGGCGGCGUGCUUAACACAUGCAAGUCGAACGGACAGGUCAUGCUCUUGCGGGGUGCUCGAGUGGCGAACGGGUGAGUAACACGUGAGUAAACUGCCCCUGACUGUGGGGUAAAAUCAGGAAAAAGGGGCUCAUACAGGGUAGGAGCUACUGCAGCGUGGUGGGGGUUGGAAAGAUUCGGCGGUUGGGGAUGGAAUAGCGGGUUAUGCGCUUGUUGGUGGGGUAGUGGCUUACCGGGGCUUCGACGGGUAGGCGGCCUUGGAGGGGGACCGGGCACAUGGGGACUGAGAGACGGCCCAGACGCCUACGGGAGGCAGCAGUGGGGAAUAUGGCGCAAUGGGCGGAAGCCUGAUGCAGCAACGCCGCGUGCGUGAUGACGUCCUACGAGUGAUAAACCGCUUUCGCCUGUGACGAGGCGUGCGUGACGGUAAUGGGUAAAGAAGCACCGGCUAACUACGUG